This 254-nucleotide ribosomal RNA is filed under the name uncultured prokaryote. Its description in RNAcentral is "partial 16S ribosomal RNA". It matches the Rfam family "Bacterial small subunit ribosomal RNA", at positions 525 to 777 of the family's 1533-position model. The record is from RNAcentral.
ACGUAGGGUGCAAGCGUUAAUCGGAAUUACUGGGCGUAAAGCGUGCGCAGGCGGUUGUGUAAGACAUGUGUGAAAUCCCCGGGCUUAACCUGGGAACUGCGCUUGUGACUGCACAGCUAGAGUACGGCAGAGGGGGGUGGAAUUCCACGUGUAGCAGUGAAAUGCGUAGAGAUCCGGAAGAACACCGGUGGCGAUGGCGGCCUGCUGGGCAGUUUGCUGACACUGAGGCGCGACAGCGUGGGGAGCAAACAGGA